UACGUAGGGGCCCAGCGUUGUCCGGAUUCAUUGGGCGUAAAGCGCGCGCAGGCGGCCCGGUGUGCCGCCCGUGAAAUCCCCCGGCUCAACCGGGGGGGGUCGGGCGGGACUGCCGGGCUGGAGGCGGGUAGGGGAGAGCGGAAUUCCCGGUGUAGUGGUGGAAUGCGUAGAGAUCGGGCGGAACACCAGCGGCGAAGGCGGCAUCCUGGCCCUGACCUGACGCUGAGGCGCGAGAGCGUGGGGAGCAAACUGG
RNAcentral lists this ribosomal RNA (253 nucleotides) under uncultured bacterium. Its description in RNAcentral is "partial 16S ribosomal RNA". It matches the Rfam family "Bacterial small subunit ribosomal RNA", at positions 524 to 776 of the family's 1533-position model. The record is from RNAcentral.